CGCUGAAACACCGGUUUUCGUACGAUCACCGAAGUUAAGCAGCGUAGAGCCAGGUCAGUUUGAAUUAGAUGGGGACCGCUUGGGAACACCUGGUACUGUAAGC
This 103-nucleotide ribosomal RNA is filed under the name Acanthosepion pharaonis. Lineage: Eukaryota; Metazoa; Mollusca; Cephalopoda; Sepiida; Sepiidae. The record is from RNAcentral.